UCAUCCCAAAAAUCCCUUUGUCUCCCAAACUCUCUCUAACCCUCUCCGAAACCCUAGCCCUAUCAUGCCGGUUUCCACUUUGUUUCACUGGAAUUAAUGGCUUCCCAAGCCCUGGGUGACCUUUACUCACCUCCAUGUGCUCUUGUGCACCUGCUACAUGAAGAUUCAAGGUCCGACUUGAAGGACUUCGCUCAGAUCUACGCCGAUUCGAGAUUCACUGCCAUCUCCAUCUUGACUCCGACAUAUCCUAGACCUAUGAGCCUAUCUCUGACUUAUUCGACUCGGAACAGACCUUUUCCAGGCCUUUUUCGCUUCUAGGGUUUUUUGAAACCCUAGCCUUUCGAGGUUCUCCUAAUUUCUCUAGAUCUGCUCUAGAUCUGUGUUUAUUUUAAGAUUUUGAGACGAUUCAACUAUGUUUCUUUUUAAGACUGUGCUUUCAAAACUGUUCAUCUUCUCUGACUUAUGGUUUCUUUGAUUUUACUUGUUUUACUGUGAUUCCUAUGUGUUACUCUCACUGUAUUUUUCUCUACUCUUUCUCUUAUGUGUUAUUACUAUUAUUCCAUGUGUUUUCUCCUAUUGUGCUUUCUUCUACCGUUUCCUUCUAAUUUCCUUUACUGUAUUUUAUUUUAUGAAUUAUUUUAAGUUCCAUGGGGUUUUCUGAACUUAUUCUUGCCUUAUUUAUUUGGUUUUGU
This 692-nucleotide long non-coding RNA is filed under the name Nicotiana benthamiana. Its description in RNAcentral is "long non-coding RNA (NBEN_LNC028040)". Lineage: Eukaryota; Viridiplantae; Streptophyta; Magnoliopsida; Solanales; Solanaceae. The record is from RNAcentral.